RNAcentral lists this ribosomal RNA (465 nucleotides) under uncultured bacterium. Its description in RNAcentral is "bacterial SSU rRNA". It matches the Rfam family "Bacterial small subunit ribosomal RNA", at positions 28 to 494 of the family's 1533-position model. The record is from RNAcentral.
GAUGAACGCUAGCGGCAGGCUUAACACAUGCAAGUCGAGGGGUAUUGGUUUUCGGACCAAGAGACCGGCGCACGGGUGCGUAACGCGUAUGCAAUCUACCUUUUGCAGAGGGAUAGCCCAGAGAAAUUUGGAUUAAUACCUCAUAGUAUAGUACUUUGGCAUCAAGGAACUAUUAAAGUCACAACGGCAAAAGAUGAGCAUGCGUCCCAUUAGCUAGUUGGUAAGGUAACGGCUUACCAAGGCUACGAUGGGUAGGGUCCUGAGAGGGAGAUCCCCCACACUGGUACUGAGACACGGACCAGACUCCUACGGGAGGCAGCAGUGAGGAAUAUUGGACAAUGGGCGCAAGCCUGAUCCAGCCAUGCCCGCGUGCAGGAUGACGGUCCUAUGGAUUGUAAACUGCUUUUANACAGGAAGAAACACUCCGACGUGUCGGAGCUUGACGGUACUGUAAGAAUAAGGAUC